Molecule: non-coding RNA, 87 nt
Organism: Bimuria novae-zelandiae CBS 107.79
Lineage: Eukaryota; Fungi; Ascomycota; Dothideomycetes; Pleosporales; Didymosphaeriaceae
Source: the annotation of a GenBank genome assembly
ACAUUCAUCCAGUGGUUAUGAUGUCUGCUUUACAAUUCACGAUUGUGAAAGCGCAGAAGGUCCCCGGUUCGAUCCCGGGCUUCCGUA